Molecule: ribosomal RNA, 402 nt
Filed under: uncultured Cryptococcus
Lineage: Eukaryota; Fungi; Basidiomycota; Tremellomycetes
Description: eukaryotic LSU rRNA
Rfam family: Eukaryotic large subunit ribosomal RNA
Source: RNAcentral
CACCGACGGCCAGUCCCAUGUGAUAUUCUUUCAACGAGUCGAGUUGUUUGGGAAUGCAGCUCAAAAUGGGUGGUAAAUUCCAUCUAAAGCUAAAUAUUGGCGAGAGACCGAUAGCGAACAAGUACCGUGAGGGAAAGAUGAAAAGCACUUUGGAAAGAGAGUUAAACAGUAUGUGAAAUUGUUGAAAGGGAAACGAUUGAAGUCAGUCGUGUCUAUUGGACUCAGCCGGUUCUGCCGGUGUACUUCCUUUAGAUGGGGUCAACAUCAGUUUUGAUCGCUGGAAAAGGGCAGGAGGAAUGUAGCACUCUCGGGUGGACUUAUAGCCUUCUGUCGCAUACAGUGGUUGGGACUGAGGAACGCAGCUUGCCUUUAUGGCCGGGAUUUAUCCACGUACAAGCUUAG